RNAcentral lists this ribosomal RNA (677 nucleotides) under uncultured bacterium. RNAcentral's name for it is "bacterial SSU rRNA". It matches the Rfam family "Bacterial small subunit ribosomal RNA", at positions 822 to 1500 of the family's 1533-position model. The record is from RNAcentral.
GUCGGGUCUUAAUNGACUUGGUAACGCAGCUAACGCGUGAAGUAGACCGCNUGGGGAGUACGGUCGCAAGAUUAAAACUCAAAGGAAUUGACGGGGACCCGCACAAGCGGUGGAUGAUGUGGAUUAAUUCGAUGCAACGCGAAAAACCUUACCUACCCUUGACAUGGAAGGAACCUNCCGAGAGAUUGGAGGGUGCUCGAAAGAGAACCUUUACACAGGUGCUGCAUGGCUGUCGUCAGCUCGUGUCGUGAGAUGUUGGGUUAAGUCCCGCAACGAGCGCAACCCUUGUCAUUAGUUGCUACGAAAGGGCACUCUAAUGAGACUGCCGGUGACAAACCGGAGGAAGGUGGGGAUGACGUCAAGUCCUCAUGGCCCUUAUGGGUAGGGCUUCACACGUCAUACAAUGGUACAUANCAGAGGGCCGCCAACCCGCGAGGGGGAGCUAAUCCCAGAAAGUGUAUCGUAGUCCGGAUUGUAGUCUGCAACUCGACUGCAUGAAGUUGGAAUCGCUAGUAAUCGCGGAUCAGCAUGUCGCGGUGAAUACGUUCCCGGGUCUUGUACACACCGCCCGUCACACCAUGGGAGCGGGUUUUACCAGAAGUAGGUAGCUUAACCGNCAAGGAGGGCGCUUACCACGGUAGGAUUCGUGACUGGGGUGAAGUCGUAANCAAGGUACC